Mus musculus (house mouse) is the source of this 9763-nucleotide long non-coding RNA. RefSeq annotates it as predicted gene, 41253. Lineage: Eukaryota; Metazoa; Chordata; Mammalia; Rodentia; Muridae. The record is from RefSeq and is a predicted model, not a curated record. The transcript has 5 exons.
AUUUUGGGGCCGUUUUGGACCUAACAUUCCAGACUUUUCUUGAUAUUAGGCAUGCUGGUUGUCAUGUGGUUGCUUUCAGCUGAGUGAGGAAGAACAUGGGAGUCGCCUUAGGAAAGCUGAGUUGGGGGGUCAUCAGGUGGCCUGAUGGCAGGAGAGUCAGGGAAAUUUCAUCAGAAGCAUUGUCUGGUUUACUGACCAUCGGGUAAUUUCACCAAUUGUCUCCCGAGAGAACCGGAAGAGGGAACCGUCGUUGUUACAAGAAAUGCAGAUAUCGGUGGGCUAACGAGAUGGAUGAGCCAGGGGCCCAAGGAAGACACAAAGGAGAGCCAUGCAUAGGUCCCCCUGGAAGCUUCAGAUUGCGAGGCAGCUCCUAUGGGAAUGUAGUUCUCAGCUACUGGUUCAGCACCAUGUCUAUCUGCAUGCUGCCAUGCUCCUGCCAUGGUGUUAACGGACUCAGCUUCUGAAAUGUCCAGUCCUCUAGCAAGCCACCAACAUGAAUCAGCAGCUGCAGUCCUGUCCACUCGGCAAUCACCACUCACGAAUCAGCAAUGGCGAAGACGUAACCAUUCCAGAAGGAACCAUGAGGCUCCCCAACUAGUCGGAGUUCGAGGAAGUGCCAAGAUGCUGCUGGAAUAUCAGGAGGAGCUCUUCGGUGAGUUACUCUCUAUGAAGUCAUGACAAGUGACGAUCAGCAACUCGAUGCAAGGCAAACCAGUACAUGAGCAUCACCAGCAAAGACUAGCGAAGCAAAGCAAGGAGAACCAGUGUGAUAGCUUCCUCCCACUGUCUGUGGGGUUUAAACAUCACCUGUGUCUGCUUCAGCAAAACAUUGUGACCCGAGUCUCCAAAGAAGCCAGAAAUCUGCACUUCACACAGCCCUCCAUUCAGGUGGACCCUGUUCAUCCUCUAGACGCUGGAUGGCUACAUGUGGCUCCUGAAUGAGGGACCUGAAAACGGGGGACCUGCUGAGAAAUGCUGUCUUGGUUGGAGGGCUCCACAGAAAACAGAAAAAGUAAAAGUAUCCUGCACAGAUGCUGAAGGAGCAUGCUAGCUGCCAGAGUGGUUAAUGAGGCAUGCUGAUGCUGGGACAAAGAAUGAGGCUGAUCGUGAGCUUGCAUAUUUCCCUGACAAUGAUGGUAGGGAAGCUGUAUAGGGGCGAUGUCCCUGGUCUCCCCCCUCCCCAUUUUACAUCCAACGAUAUGGGAAGGGCCAGAAGUUGUGGUAAUGAUAAACAACACUAAGUUGAUGGAUAUGGCUGCUGGAGGAAAUUUCACUAUCAGUAGAGAAAUUAAUGACCAAGGAUUGGGAGCUGGUGUCUCCACAGGCUUUUCAAAGCAGAACUCUACUGGAGGUCCGAGAGUAUCUCCUACUGCAUUGCAGGGCAAAGAUCUUGACUCAUGCAAAGGCUGUACUGUAGCAUUUUCCUCACUGUGGGAUGAGGGAGUGCACAAAUGUCACAAUUCCCUGGAAAACAUGUGUGGGAAUAAGCCUGUGCUUUAUCAGCCUCAUGGGACUCACCUCAAGAUUUUGGUCUACAUUUGGUUGGAAUAUAGAGGAGUGGCUAGUAUGACUAAUUAUGCUACUGUCUUUCCUUCUCCACCUAUCCUCCCCUCAUCAGCGUUGUCUGCUGGACUCUGGUAGACUCACACAGGUUAUUAGCAACAACAUGUAUGGAAGUUGGGUGCUGCCGUAGAUGAUCUGAGUGGUCAGCCUGAAAGAGCAAGUCCAGCUUGGAUGAAAGGGCCUAUUGCAGCAUUUGUUUGCAUGCCUCCUGUCCUAUCAGUAGGAAAUAUUAGCAUUAGUCUACAUUCUGAGAAUAAUACUUUUGAUGUGUCUGGUGUUGGCUGUAAUUUGACUAAUUAUGUUUUAAAAGCCUGUUCUAAGCGUUCUGUAAUGAUUUUACAUCAACCUGCUUUUGUGAUGGUUCCUGUAAAUAUUACUGAAGAUUGGUUUGAUGACAAGGGUUUAUAGGUAAUUGAGGAGUUAACAAAGGCGUUGGCCAGGCCUAAAUGCAUGAUUGGUUAAUUAUAGGAGGUGAUUACUUUAAUGGCCACUGCUACUACAGCUGCUAUUACCUUAUCCCAAAGUGUUCAAACAGCUCAUUUUGUAUAUAAUUUAUCCAUAAAUGUUUCCAUGGCAUUGCAUACCCAGGAAGAUACAGAUGAUAUGAUGUAACAGAAAUUAGAUGCCUUACUUGUGGUUAAUUUCUUGGGGAAAGAAAUUCAGGGGUUUAAAAUACAAAUUAUAUUUAGAUGUCAUGUUAGUUAUCAAUGGAUCUGCAUUAUGCCAAAAAUGUUUAAUGAUACUAUAUAUAGUUGGGAGAGUGUGCAAUCCCACUUGCAAGGUGUGGAAUCAUGCCAAUGUAUCUUUGGGCUUAUUAAAGUUACACCAAGUAGUUAUUAAUUUAAAAAAACAGAGCCUCUACAUUUUGAUGCAUCUCAAACAGCUAGAGAUCUGCUAGGACAGUUGCAGGGUUGGUUUCCUUCUUGGCCUGCACUCCUACAACACAGCAUCGCUGUUGCUGUCAGACUUGGUAUAGUAUUGCUCCUCUAGUUACUGCUGCCAAGUGUCCUUUGGUAUACGUUGUCACAAUUUUCACAUCUGAAGAGCCAGAUACAUGGCCUCCAUCUUAAAACCCCCUCCUCUCCAGUUUGACUGAAUACGACCAGUGACGGGUAAGAGUGUUCUUCAGCUCCUUCAACCUAAGACAGAACAUACAUCAGUGCUGUGUAUGCUUCCACGACGGGUAAGAAGGAGCAAUGUAGACACCAACCUAAGACAGGUAUAUUCAUCUGGAGCAUCCUUUAUUAAGUAAAAUAAAAAAGAGGGGAUCUGUGGAGAGCCAGAGUCCUGCCAUGAGAGCAGUGUGUAUUGCCAAGGCUAUGAGAACGGUCUGUGUAGCCAAGGUUAGAGAGUAGUGUGUAUAGCCAAGAGGAACUCCUAUCUAUGUUUAGUCUGUAGAGAAACUUUCUCAAGAAGAGCUUUGUCUGCUGAAGUGCUUAUAAGCUGGAGCUGCAGAAAUGUACUUUGAUCCCUGAUCAGAACCUUGCCUUGACUUCAUGCUUCUCUCACCUCCUACCCUUUUCAUUUCCAGCCCCCCAUUCAGGUGAACUGUGUUCAUCCUCUAGCCGCUGGACGGCUGCAGGGGUUGGGUGAAGAACUUGGGGAAAGGGAACCAGAAAGGGGGAGCAAUAUUUGGAAUGUAAAUAAAAUAAUUUAAUAAAAAUGCUUUCUACCAGAACAUAUUUUCCUGCAAAUAUUAUGAUUUUAUUUUAUUUUUUCCUGGCUGCAUAAAAUUCCAUUGUGCCCAGUAACACAGCUGAUCUGAUUAUCAGAACAAAGUAUGUCCACUUAAUCUGGGAACUAAAGAUAUUUUAUCUAUCAUUUUAUCAUCCAUUAAUCUGUUGAUGGCCAUCUAAGCUGGCUCCAUUUCUUGGCUGACUUGAAUAUAGCAGCAACAAGCCCGGGUAUACAAGAAUGUCUGCGGUAUUAACUUAGAGUCCUUUGGGUAUAUAUGGAAGAGCGGCAUAGUUGGGCUAUAUGGUAGAAAGCCAUGCUGAUUUAAAUAGUGGUCACACAGGUUUACAGUCUCUGCAGUAAGUAACGAUCCCAGCCUUCUAAUCCCCACAUCCUGGCCAAAAUUUGUUGUCCCUUGUUUUCUUGGUGAUUGCCACUCUGACCUGAGUGAUACGGAAUCUUGAGGCAGUUUUAAUUUACACUUCCCUGUUGGCUAAGAAUGUUGAACACUUUUCAAAGUAUUUAUUGAAUACUUGGGUUUCUUCUUUUAACAACUGUCUCCUGAUUACUGAUUGCAAGAUGUAGAUUUUUUUUUUUUUGGUAAUUUUUCCAUAGCCUCCUAAUGUGUAGCUGACAAAGACCUUCAUCCCAUGCUGCAGGCUGCCUUACUCUGGAGAUCAUUUCCUUUGUUGUGAAGCAGCCUUUUAAUUUCACAGAGUCCCAUUUGUCAAUUUUGGAUUAUUUCUUGAGCUAUAGACAGAGCAGGUUCCCACCCCCUACUGGGUAUCCAUACUGUGGGGACUGAGCCCAGGCCCUGCCUUAUGUUGGACAAGUGCUGGGCCACUCAGCUCCAGCCUCUACUCCACCAUCUACUGCAACUCAACAGCUGCCCUGCACUGUUAUCAACUGCUUACCAACACUGCUUUUACCACGGCUACCGACAAGCCACAUCAAGUGCACAGAUUUUGUCUUAAAAAUCAGGUCACUUUUGUCAAAAUAGGCAUGUGCAAUGUCUCUAGGCAUUAUUUUCUUUUAUCCGUUACCUCUGUCUAUUUCCUCUUGGUGUGUGUGGUGGUUUGAAUAAGAAUGGCCUCCACAGGCUCAUAUGUUUGGAUGCUUAGUCGAUAGAGAGUGAAACUGUUUCAUAAGGAUCAGAAGGUGUGGCCUUUUUGGAGGAGGUGUGUCAUUGGAAGUAGGCUUUGAGGUUUCAAAAGCCUACACCAAGUCUUUGUCUCUCUCUCCCUCACUGCUGCCUAUGGAACAGGAUAUAAAUUCCUCAGAUACUGUUCUAGUACCAUGCCUGUAUUCUUCCAGCCAUGAUGAUCAUAGACUAGCUCUCUGAAACGGUAAAGCCAGCCCGCAACUAAAUGCUUUCAUUUAUAAGAACUGCCAUGAUUAUGGUGUCUCUUCACAGCAAUAGAGCAGCAUCUAAGUGUUUACAGAAUUCUCUCUCUCUCUCUUCCUAGUGCUAAACAUAUAUGUUGAAAUCAUCUCUGAGUAUGUCAUUUUCACUAGAUUAUAAAUGAUUCCAACCUAGUUAUUUCCCUCUCAAGUUCCCGUCUUUCUCUCUGUUCUUGUUUUUUCCUCAGAAUGCCCACUUGAAUCGACUCUUGUUACAAUGAUAGACAUUUCAUUAGUUCUGAUUAGAUUACCUUUGCCAUGAGUAAGCACAACGUCUUAAAUAAGGAGUUCAUUUUCCCUCAUAACAAACCCAGAGCCAGUCUCUGAGUUCUUACCAUAAAUCCAGAGUCUUUCUCCUUUGUCUGACUCAUGUUCCAUCUGCCUUUCAUCUUUGUGACUGAAAAAUGGCUGCCCUCGUGUCUCAGGGCAUUGUAUCUCUACACCUGGAAGGAAGACGGGCAAGGUGACUAGAAGGGGCAAACCCUUCCCCUGAAGUGCUACCUUUUCAUCCUGGAAGCCUGACUCAGGGAUUUCCAUCUGCACCUCAUUGGCUGAGCUGGGCAGCUGCCCCCCCCCAUUGGCUGAGCUAGGCAGCUGCCCCCCUCCCAUUGGCUGAGCUGGGCAGUUGGCCUCUCAUUGGCUGAGCUGGGUAGCUGGCCCCUCAUUGGCUGAGCUGAGCUAGGCAGAUGGCCACACCGCAUAAUGCCGAUAUUGGGAAUAGGUGCUGGGAAGGUUGCUGGCGACUCACCCUUUUCACUAUUUCUUACUAGUGAUGCCAAGUAUCCGUGUAGCCCACGUUACAUUAUGAUAUGCAAGUUUCAUAUCUCUUCUAUCUGUCGCAUUUCCAUCUCAGACCCAUUACUUCAGAUUGUCAGCAGCAGCAGCAGCAGCAGCAGCAGCAGCAGCAGCAGCAGCAGCAGCAGCAGCAGCAGAUGUUAACAGCCAGGUAGCCCGAUCAUGUCUUUUCAGAGAUCUCUGAUGGGGAAACCUAGAUCUUGACUUGUGCCACAGAAAGGAAUUCCAGGACAAGAUGACACGAGGCAGAUUAAGUAAAGGAAGAACUUAUUACGGAAAGGACCCAGUGGUGCAGAUGGGUUUCUCGAGACAUGCGUAGUUGAACUUAUAUGUAAGCUUUGAUAGCGAAGGGGUUAUUGAUGACAAGAAGCAGGAGGAGUGGGGGCGGGGUAGGGGGGAGCAAGGGCUGCCCUAACAGGGCAUGGUAUCAGGUGCUUGAGAGCAGGCAAUGGUGCAAGUCCUAUGUUAUGGACAUGCCACAAAAUGAAGCGAGGUUGGUUAGCAGCCCUCUGCGUCUGCUACACUGGUCCUGGUUGGUUUGGAGCAGUCACGUGGUAUCAACCUGCAGUUCUGUCUGGCCUAUCCUGUAUCACUAAGAGUACAGUUAGUAUUGAUGUCUGAGGUACGCUGCUGAAAAUGUUGGCACUUGGCUAACCUCAACUUCAGUGAGUUGGUUCUCAUACGUUAAAAAAGUCUGGAGUUAAUUUUCCCACCCCGUCCGUCCCCAGGUUAUCAGGAGCUCGGUGCAGCUCAGACUUGCUUUACUUUGUAAUGGAGCAGCGUUUUCUCUUUCUCAGCAACACUUUGUUCGAACCAUCUGCCACCUGUCAGCUUUUGCACCUCAGCAGUCUUACCUUGUGUCCAGCGUUGAGAACGUGAAUGCUGUUAGCACUUUCUUUCUGAAACUUGGCCAGUCAUUCUUAUGUCCACCUGUAAGGUCUGUUUAAUAAAAUUUGAUUAUACCAGUGGUUAUCUAACAUGUCUACCUUGGUAGCAUAUUUAUUCAUUCUUUAAAAGAAUUAUUUAUUUUAUGUAUAUGAGUACAUUGUAGCUGUCUUCAGGCACACAAGCAGAGGGCAUUGGAUCCCAUUACAGAUGGUUGUGAGCCACCAUGUGGUUGCUGGGAAUUGAACUCAGAACCUUUGGAAGAGCAAUCAUUGCUCUUAACCACUGAGUCAUCUCUCCAGCCCUAGAAUAUUCUUUUAAAGAUAAAAGGUUUUUUUUUUGUUUUUUUUUGUUUUUUUUUGGUUGUUGUUGUUAAAUUUGUUAUUGAGAGUGGGGGCUGCCUUGGUGUGCACAUAGAGAUCAAAGGAUAACUUGUCUGAUACUGUUCUCUCCUUCCAUAUGUGGGUCCCAGAAAUUGAACUCAGGUUAUCAGGCUUGGUAGUAAGGUCUUUAUGGACUGAGCCGUAUGGUCAGCUAGCCACUCCCAGCCUUUUGAGAUAAGGUCUGGCCUUAAGCAUACAGGAUCAGGCUGGCCUUAAGCAUACAAAAUGGCUGAGGGUGGCCUUGAACUCUUGACCCUUCUGCAUCUACCUCCUAGGUGCUAGAAUUACAGUCAUGUACUACAUCACCACACCUGCUAGUGCUAACAUACACAUUUUCAAAUGUUAUUUUCUAUGCAUCAAGCAUAGUGGUAUGAUUCAUGCUUUAGAAGACUGAAUGUUGUUUGUUUCCUGGAGGAAUAAAAGGGGCUAUGGGUAGAUGCUGCAAGAAGAAUCCAGCGAUUUAAGCAGGAGGAACUAACUCCCAAAACCCAGUCUUAAGAGACAUAAUCUGAAAGUGCUAAUAGCAUGCUGUAUAAUAAUGCCGUGGUGAAAACAGGAUUUUGCUUACUGAAUAAACAACAAAUCCACCAGAUGGGGCUCUAAUAUUCUUUUGGACCAGUGACUGAAAAGUAAGUAUUUCCUGCUAUCUUUAGAGGAAAAAAUAUGCAUAUAACCAUAUUAACCUCCAAGAGAAUCUUCCUGAAAUAGGAUUAUGGUCUCCAGCAAGCAUCGUCAUUGUGUUUAAUGUCUUCUGAGUCCCAGGGGGACAUUUAGAAAGAAAGUGGCCAAUUUGCUGAAAAAAAAAAAAACUGAGGCACCCAGAACAGCACAGUUCAAUUACCCCUGAGCUGGGUCCUUUGUGGGCCCCACUUUAAGGAAAUCGAGACGUAUUUAUGAACAAAUGGCUGCCUUAUUGCCAGUGUGUUCUUCCAUCUUUGGAUUUACUGACGCUAUUUAAAAUGUGAAUUGCUUGAGAUGAGGUGACAUCAUUGUUAAACCUGCCACAGCUGCAGAAACUCUCUCUCUGUCCAGUUAUUUGGAUGAGCUGUGCAUCACGGUAAGGACGUGGGUUCUCCGUGGGAUACAUUUUGCUUCUGCUUUCCUAGGAGUUUCAGGUUAGAUUUCUGAAGCAGGGCCCCCUUCCUGGACUCUAUCCUUAUGACUCACAACUGCUGUUCAACCUGGAACGGAUGCCAGCUGGGAAUUAUAGAGCUGAGUUUUAACACAGAGUGGGCGUGUUGGCCAGGCUUUGGUCAACUUGUCACAUGCUAGAGUCAUCUGGGGAGGGGAACCCUCAAUUGAGGACAUACCCUCAUCAGAAUGGCCCAUAGGCAAGCCUGUAAGGUGUUUUAUUGAUUACUGAUAGAUGUGGGAAUAUUUAGCCCAUUACGAGUGGCGCUGUUCUGGGCAGGUGGUUGGUUCUGGGUUCCAUAAGGAAGCAAACAGAGCAAGCUACCGGGAGCAGACCAGUAAGCAACGCCGUUCCACAGACUCUGCUUCCGGACCUAUCUCCAGGUUCCUGCCUUAACUUCUCCUGAUGAUGGACCAGCAAGUCAAACAAAUCCUUCCCUCCCCAGGUUGGUUAUGGUGUUUCAUCACAGAAACAGAAAGCAACUGAGGCAACAGGUUGGGGACUGAGUCAGGUUUCCUAAUAUGACAUUGUCUAAUGGAGCCCAGAGCUAGAUUAGGCCAGGUAGCUCUCUGCGUCCCAGGAUGGCAGUCAAGACACAUCACCACUAAGGGCCACAGGAGUAAAUGCUGACUCUCUCACAGAACGCUUUGAAAUAUUGGCUCACCAACCAAAGGGCACACACGGGCUGGUCUGAGGCCCUAGCACUUAAGUAACAGAGGGUUGCCACUUCUGGUCUCAAUCAAUCAGAGAGAAUGCACCUAAUUCUGCAGAGACUUGAUGUGUCUGGAUUAUGGGAUGCAGGAUGGGGGCUGUCCUCUAAGAGACAACAUUUGAGGGAAGGAAGGCAACAUUUGAGAUGUAAUUAAUUAAUUAAUUAAUUAAGAAGAGAAAUAUUAGCUCAUUUUGUCUUGCAGCUGACUUUGCUCCAACCACACACGUUGUCUGAACACAUCAGGCUUUCUCCAGUCUGAGUAGUUCUAUGUAGGAGUCUAUUCUCAGGCCACUGCUUGCUUCUUUCAGGCAUUUGCUGAAAUUUCACUUCCUCAUUGAGGUGUUCCUUUGCCACGUGGUUGAAAGCGGUCAUGUGACCAGCUAUGGAACUGGGCGUGCUCUCCUUUCUCACUGGUGGCCAGCAAGCCCCAGCGGUCCUGUCUUCACUCCCCACAGCGCUGGGGUUAGAGUUGUACGCAGCCACCUCCAGCAUUUAUACGGAUGCCGGGAUCCAAACCUGACUGUGUGGCAACUGCUCUGACCUACUGAGCCAUCUCUUCAGCCUCGUCGCUUCUGAUCCCCAAGCAAUUGUUUCUUAACUAGCUCAGAACUGUCACUGUCAUAGUUUCGAUGUAUUUAUUCAUCCAUCAGCCAUCAGCUGAAAGUCUAGAAGCAGGGCGUUGUGCUCUCUAAUGGAAACAGUCACUUAUUUAUUAUCUCAACUGCAAAUGCUUUUAUGCACAUUUAACAAAGUUGCUUUGUUUAACUCAUGGCAAAUGAUAGUAAUGUGAAACUAAGAAUUUGCAGAAAAGACCCGAGACAUUCUACCAGUGUGUCAGCAAAGGCACUGAGCUGGUUUGUUAAUCCGGUUUUGUUUCACUUCACUAAAACGCUGCAGAUUUCUGGACCUCACUGAGUCACAGUUAAAUAAAUGGUGAAGGACACCAGUGGGAAAACAAACCAACCCCGUGGUUCACCCAGUCUCCCCUGUUGCUGCAAGGGCGCUGGCCUGGCUUGGUCACCUGACAGUCACAGGCCAUGCCUGCCCAGUCCUUGAGCAUGUCUCAUUGCACUUUUUUCUAAAAUAUUGAUCUGUUUGAAUCUGUUUUCACCAUUCGAGCUCCAGGAAGAGAAAGCGCAUGAAUGUCUCUCUCUGUGUGUCUGUGUAUGUGUGUGCAUGUGUGUGUAUGUAUGUAUGUAUGUAUGUAUGUAUGUAUAU